Molecule: ribosomal RNA, 196 nt
Filed under: uncultured bacterium
Lineage: Bacteria
Description: partial 16S ribosomal RNA
Rfam family: Bacterial small subunit ribosomal RNA
Source: RNAcentral
CUGCAACUCGACUGCAUGAAGCUGGAAUCGCUAGUAAUCGCGGAUCAGAAUGCCGCGGUGAAUACGUUCCCGGGUCUUGUACACACCGCCCGUCACACCAUGGGAGUCGGAUAUGCCCGAAGUCAGUGACCCAACCGCAAGGAGGGAGCUGCCGAAGGUGGAGCCGAUGACUGGGGUGAAGUCGUAACAAGGUACC